AAGGAUCAUUAACGAAUAGCAAGGCCUCAAGCUGUCGCUGGCUCCCCCGUGAGCAUGUGCACGCUUGGGUCCGACCUUUUCAUUCUUUUACCCAACUGUGCACCUUUUGUGGAUCGUGGAAUGGAUAACCCGUCGAAGUAACAUUCGGUCUUGGGACUCGCGCCUAACACGCGCUUGACCCUACUUUCACCCGCGGUUCACGUCUUUCUACACACUUUUAAAUACAAUCUAGAAUGCUUCAGAGUUGGGACUUCAGUGACCCUUCUUAAAUAAAUACAACUUUCAACAACGGAUCUCUUGGCUCUCGCAUCGAUGAAGAACGCAGCGAAAUGCGAUAAGUAAUGUGAAUUGCAGAUUUCAGUGAAUCAUCGAAUCUUUGAACGCACCUUGCGCCUUGUGGUAUUCCACAAGGCAUGCCCGUUUGAGUGUCAUUGAAUCAUCAACCUCGACUCUUUCUUUAUGUCAGAUGUUCGAAGGCUUGGUCUUGAGGGUUUGCGGGCUCUAGUAGUCGGCUCCCUUUAAAUCCAUUAGCGAGACUUCCCUCUGCUGACCGUCUCCGGCGUGAUAAUUAUCUGCGUCGAAGUGCGGUUCUCGUUGGGCUUGCUUCUAAUCGUCUUCGGACAACAGGAUGGAGUGCGUGUAUGCGCCUUCCGUUCGAACUCUUUUGACCUCAAAUCGGGUAGGACUACCCGCUGAACUUAAGCAUAUCAAUAAGCGGAGGAAAAGAAACUAACAAGGAUUCCCCUAGUAACUGCGAGUGAAGAGGGAAGAGCUCAAAUUUAAAAUCUGGCGGUCCUUGCGGCCGUCCGAGUUGUAAUUUAGAGAAGCGUCACCCGCGUUGGACCGUGCACAAGUCUCCUCGAACGGAGCAUCAUAGAGGGUGAGAAUCCCGUAUAUGGCACGGACUACCAGGGCUUUGUGGUGCGCUCUCGACGAGUCGAGUUGUUUGGGAAUGCAGCUCAAAAUGGGUGGUAAAUUCCAUCUAAAGCUAAAUAUAGGCGAGAGACCGAUAGCGAACAAGUACCGUGAGGGAAAGAUGAAAAGAACUUUGGAAAGAGAGUUAAACAGUACGUGAAAUUGUUGAAAGGGAAACGCUUGAAGUCAGUCGCGUCUUCCGAGGAUCAACCUGGCCUUCCGCCUGGUGCACUCUUUGGAGGACGGGUCAGCAUCAAUUUUGACCGGGGGAGAAAGUUGGUGGGAAUGUGGCACCCUCGGGUGUGUUAUAGCCCAUUUUCAUAUGCCUCGGUUGGGAUUGAGGAACUCAGCACGCCGCAAGGCCGGACUUCUGUCACGUACGUGCUUAGGAUGCUGGCAUAAUGUCUUCAAUCGACC
This 1332-nucleotide ribosomal RNA is filed under the name uncultured Stephanosporaceae. RNAcentral describes it as "eukaryotic LSU rRNA". The stretch from base 666 to 1332 matches the Rfam family "Eukaryotic large subunit ribosomal RNA", at positions 1 to 649 of the family's 3401-position model. The record is from RNAcentral. Lineage: Eukaryota; Fungi; Basidiomycota; Agaricomycetes; Agaricales; Stephanosporaceae.